Planococcus citri (citrus mealybug) is the source of this 633-nucleotide long non-coding RNA. RefSeq lists it as uncharacterized. The transcript has 2 exons. The record is from RefSeq and is a predicted model, not a curated record. NCBI's taxonomy places the organism in Eukaryota, Metazoa, Arthropoda, Insecta, Hemiptera, Pseudococcidae.
AUACCUGGAAAUCUGCAAUUUUUCUUGAAAAAUCCAUUCAAAAAAAUCAAAUAUCGAAAAAUUGAGCCGAAUAAUCGGCACUGUACGCAUUUUACCUCGUUCAAUUGAAAUUUCGUACUUAUAACUGCUUCGAAUCAUGUUACACGAUUCAAAUUUUCGACACCUGCGUUUGCAUCUUGUAUGCUGAAUCAUUGUUAUUCAGCCUCAGCGAAUCAUUACAUCACACGUGUUUUUUUUCGUAUAACACAUCUUAUCGUUAAAAUCUCUGGGCUUCAUUUUGCAGAUGAUUUCUGUUCACUUGACGGUUUCUUAUUGGAAAGGGCAAGGGGUGAAAAAAAAACUUCUCGCAAAUUUUGAACGUCUAUCGAAUUCAUUUGUAGUUGAAUAUUUCCUCGAGUUAAGUUUUAUACAAUCAAAGUACAUGGUUUCGUUAUUAAAAAAUGUCCAAGUUCGAAUUGAUUUUGAUUUUUUUCGCGAUCAUCACUUUUGACGCAUUCAAUUUUGGCCACGCCGACCCCCUCACAACGGAGCAAAUCCAGAAUAAUAUAGAGACCUUAUUAAAAGAAUUCGGUAGAAUAAUAGGAUCCGAUGCAGCAACCAAUACGCAAGGUUAUUUAGCAGCUUUAGAAGCAA